Megalobrama amblycephala (Wuchang bream) is the source of this 3224-nucleotide RNA transcript. It is a transcript of the gene named verrucotoxin subunit beta-like, with no coding region annotated. The record is from RefSeq and is a predicted model, not a curated record. Lineage: Eukaryota; Metazoa; Chordata; Actinopteri; Cypriniformes; Xenocyprididae. The transcript has 6 exons.
AAUGGUGACAGGUUUUGACAGGCGUCUCCUUCACAUUGACAUUCAAACAGGUCUCCUUGUUGACGAUUCCAAGAUGUCGGCACUUUUGAUGUACCUGAAGCAGCCGAGCUGCAUCUACUGUGCAUAUCUAUGGUUGGCAACCCUAGCUGUGGUGAAUGCACAGGAAGUGUUACAACCCAAACCUGAUGAGGUUCAGAUUUUAAAUGAAGACAGCGGAGGACUUUAUUUCUUAGCAGACCAAGGAAACACAAAAUAUCCAGCCUUGGCAUCACAGCCCAUUGAAGUGGCAGCUCUAGGAAGACCUCUGUUUCCUGGUAUGCUGUAUGACUGCCGCAAGGAUACCUUCAUUCCAGGUGUUACUCUGUGGAAUAAGAAGUCACUGAGUGAAGAUCUGGACAGUCGUUCAAAGCUCAUGACAGAUUUGAAAUUCAGUAACUCCGACUCUCUCUCUAGUAAGUCCAGUCUCCUGAAUGUAAGUGCUUCGCUGAAGGCCAGCUUAUUGGGAGGGCUGGUGGAGGUGGGAGGAUCUGCCAAGUUCCUGCGUGACACCAAAUCCUCAAACCAACAGUCCAGAGUUACAAUGUAUUACAAAGAAAGCACCAGAUUCGAACAGCUUACUAUGACUCAGCUGGGCCAGAUCACCUACCCUCAGGUGUUUGACCAGAAAACUGCAACUCAUGUGGUUACGGCUGUACUGUAUGGAGCUCAGGCCUUCAUGGUGUUUGAUCGGACAUUUUCAGAAGAGGAAAACAAGCAGGAGAUUGAGGAAGGACUGAAUAUCAUGGUCAAGAAGAUUCCUAAAUAUUCUAUUGAGAGAAAAGGAGCUAUAAAGAUGACAGAUGGUGAUAAGAAAGUGGCUGAGAGCAUUGCCUGCACAUUUUAUGGUGACUUCCGCCUUGAUCAUAACCCCACCACUUACAUGAAGGCCCUAGAGGUGUACAAGAAGAUCCCCACUAUACUGAAGGAGAAUCCACAGAAUGCAGUUCCAAUAAAAGUAUGGCUCUAUCCUCUUUCUCUACUGGAUACAAAAGCAGCACAGUUGGAGAGAGAAAUUAGCACAAGUCUGGUUUCCAACGCUCAAGAUAUAAUAGAGGGGCUGGGACAGGCAGAGAGGACAUGUAAUGACCUCUCAAGAAAACCACUGGUAAAUGUUUUCAGAGACAUCAAAGACAGGCUGCAAUCAUUUCAGAGUUCAUUCAGCAUUUACAAGACAAUGCUCCUGAAAGCUGUCAGCAGGGUCUUGCCUGCUAUACGAGGAGGAGAGAUGGAGCAAAAUUCAUUGGAAGACAUCCUGAAGAUCCACUACAGUUCCCCUUUCAAUGCUGACAAGCUUAACCAGUGGUUAGAUCGUGCAAAGUCUGAACUCAACCUCUUGAGUUCUCACACCAAGCUGCUGGAGGGAAUCAAAACUGAAGACUCAAAACAUCUCAACAUCAUCCUCCAUAAUCCUGAUAUUGAUGUUGUGGUGUGCUUCACCUUCACAUCUCUGGAGUAUGAAGACCCGUAUCUUUCAACCCUGAAGGAGUUUCUGAAAUCUGACAAGUUUAAACAGCUAGAUGUGGGAACGAAACAGUAUUCUAACACGUUAGCAUCAGAAGAGUGGUUCAACAAUCCUGAUGUCAUCUCAAAGAUGAUAGAGAAUUUAUCUAUUUUCAAAAGUUUUUCAGAGGCUUAUAAAGAUGAAAAGAGAUACCGAUUCAUUAUUUCUGCCAUCUCCGAUCCAUCCAGUCCAGGCUCCUCCAUCUAUCUGUAUGAAAAAGGGCAGUUGACAAACAGACAGUUCCAGCCCGUGUCGAAGCCUCCCCCACCAGAAGUGAAGGAGGUCCUGGAGCACAGUGUGUACCUGAAACUGCAAAAGUCCCCGACUGGAGAAACUGUGCAGUACAGAGUGGAGUACCAGCAGGUGAAAGCAGCUGAGGAACAGUGGCUUGUCAUAAACACACCUGAUAAAGACUUUAAUCUGACUAAGUUGGAGUUUGGAACGCAGUACUUGAUCCGCUACAGGAUUGUGGGUAAAAGUGAAGUGAAGUGAAGCCAGUGACACUAUCGGACCCAUAACAACUUUAGACAUUGUUCCCAAGACCAGGAACGGCUUCCUACAAUAUUCCCGUCGGCUCACUCUGGAUCUGAACACAGUGAAUGAACACCUCCAUCUGUCUGAGAACAACACACUGAUUACUUACAAUGACACACUCCAGUCGUAUCCUGAUCAUCCAGACAGAUUUCAGGUGUUUCCUCAGGUGUUGUGUAGAGAGAGUGUGAGUGAUCAACGCUCUUACUGGGAGGUUGAGUUUAGUGGAGAAUUUGUGUUAAUAGCAGUGUCAUAUAAGAGCAUCAUCAGGAAGGGAUGGGGUUAUAUGUUUGGAUAUAAUGAUCAGUCCUGGAGUUUGAUCUGCUCUCGCUCCUAUUGCUCAUUCUGUUGCAAAGACAUAAGGACUAAAGUCCCUGUAGAGUCCAUCAGCAGGAGAAUAGGAGUGUAUGUGGAUCACAGUGAAGGAAUUCUGUUCUUCUACGACGUCUCUGGAGACACAAUGAUCCUCAUCCACACAGUCCAGACCACAUUCACUCAACCGCUCUAUCCUGGGUUUACUGUUGGUGAUGGAUCAUCAGUGAAACUGUGUUCAUGAUUCAGAACAAACCGAUUCUACCCAUAAUGCUUUGAGCUCAUGAUGAAUCAGUGACAGUGAGAUGUUAUAGAGUCUCUUCAUUACAUUAAUACUGUCAGUGAAAUAUGUCAGAAUAAAUGUGUGAUAAAUCCUCAUAUACACAGUCAGAUCAGUGUGUGUAUCUGUUCUUCUCUCAGCCUCUACUUGUUCUGAUGGAAAUCAGUUUUUAUUGUAGUGUCACAUCAAUCUCUAUUAUAACUGUCAAAAUGACCUUUCAGUUGAAAAGUGCCUUUCACGGGGGCGCUAUUGAGUACUGAAUGGAGUAGACGUGUUCUGCUGAGCUCCUCGCCAUAUUUUAAGUUAAUUGGUCAUUGUUUUAAUUUCUUGGUUUCUUUUGCUUCAUAAUUUUAUUUGUUGAAGAGCAGUAUAAUGACUAUGCCCCAAAGCUGAAAGGGGAAAGAAGCUGGAUAAAGCAUUGAAUGAAUUCCCUGCUCAGUCGCCUUCGGAGAUGGCAGAACAGGCCGCGGCAUCCUCGGGGUCGAGUGGCGAGACUGACGCUGAAUCUACCAGUAUUCUUCUGGCAAUACAGUAUAUGAGCAAAACGAUGACUGAUCGAUU